This is a long non-coding RNA of Peromyscus eremicus (cactus mouse), 1069 nucleotides long. RefSeq lists it as uncharacterized. Lineage: Eukaryota; Metazoa; Chordata; Mammalia; Rodentia; Cricetidae. The transcript is spliced from 2 exons. The record is from RefSeq and is a predicted model, not a curated record.
GGCGUGUCGUUGUGACAGUUCUUGAGGCCGCUGUCAGCCCCGCUGCGCACCAGCGUGCGCACCAGAGGCAGGAGCCCGCGGCCCGACGCAGAAUGCAGAGCGGAGCUGCCCGAGUACAUCUGAGCGUUCACGUUGGCGCCGUGCUGUGGGAUGGGACAUUCCGGUCAGGAGCCACGCGGGCUAGUGGCCUCACCUGGCCUGGGCUCUGAGCAUCCCUCCCUUUGGUCCAGCCUCCGGCGCGUUAGACACUUGAACCCUCGGCCACCCUGGCGCCUUUUGCCAGCUCCGCCUCCUAGGCCACACCCCCGCGCAAGCAAGGCCACGCCCCUCACCGCCUGCCUCCCUGGCUCACCACUGCAUCAAUGUCUGCACCGCGCUCCAGGAGCAACAGAACAGCCUCCUGGCACCCGGUGUUCACGGCCACGUGCAGAGCGGUGAGCCCUGAGGGAGGGGAAACCGCAGUCAGUCCCCGGCCUGUGUUUGGACGCUGUCAAUCUCACCCGGUCCCCUCUGGAGACUCACCUUCGUAAUUUCGAGCCUCCAGGUCCACGGAGCCCGGGGCUGCGUUGUCCAGCAGGGCCUGCAGGCAGCUGGGGCUGCGGUGCUCGCACGCCAGGUGGGCUGCAGUCUGGCCGUGGCGGUCCAGGGCCAUGGGGCUGGCACCAGCUGUCACCAGGAGCCGGACCAUCUCUGGUAAUGUGGUGAUUACAGCCAAGUGAAGUGGAGUCUGGGGAACAGUGACGGCGAGGGAUCGAUCAGAGUACUCCUGUGCGUGCACCUCGGGUUUUCUGAGUCUAUUAAUGGAAGCCUUUUACGUCUCUCCCAAAUCAAGAGGCCGAGACCCCCGCGUCUACCUCAGAACCCACAGAGUCUGCCUCGAUACAGAUGUUGUGAUAUGGAUAAGGUGUCAAGGAGCCCAUGUGGACCCACCCCAGACUUGCUCUAUAGAUGAGGAUGACCUCAAUUCCUGAUGUUCCUGCCUCCACCUCCCAAGUGCUGAGACCAAUGGAGUGAGCGGCUAUGCUGACUUUUGUUUGUUUGGUUUGGUUUUAAUCGUUUUAUAUAUUUA